CCGAAUAAAUUUUUUUUUUAUUGGUAUUUUCUUUACAUUUCACAUGUUAUCCUCCUGAAACCCCCUACCCCAUCCCUCCAUCCCCUGCUUCUAUGAAGGCAUUAUGUAUACUUCUAAGGAAGAAAUCAUUUUGUCCAAACCUAGAAUUCAGCUUCUUCAAAAUCCAAAGGUACCAUUGUUCUUUAUAUAGAACUCUGGGCUCUUAAGUUUUGUCAGUAAAUAGGGAGACACAUUGUUUAAAAAAAAAAAAAAUCAAGUGUUUCUACUAGGCAGCUUUACCUAUGGCAGGUGCUAGUGAAGUCGGUAGGGUAGCCCAAGUCACAGGGUGUAUCUUUACCCUCCUAAAUCUACCACUGGGGAGUCAUGAAGCAUAGAGGCUCAGGAGAUCUGACUUUGAGUUCAAGCGGUUUGUCUUGCAUUAGAGUUUUCCUAUGGGACAAUCGUGUUUGGCUAGUUGAUUUCUAAGACCUUUCCACCUAUCUGUUGCAGGCAGCACCAUCCUGUCUCACGGGGGCUUGGCAUGCAGCAUCUUUACCCGACCUACUGGAGCCCAUGUGGUAAAAGCAGGCAUCCAGGAUUGGCUGAUAUACCACAUUGCCAGACAUAAAGGCCUAUUUGUUGUCUUUGUAAAAAUAGGAUCUGGUGGCUGGGUUUGCUCAGAAAUGUAUAACUAACACACACACACACACACACACACACACACACACACACACACACACCCUUCUAGGCUAUAGUCCCCCUAAAUUUGCCUUGGCCAAAGUCAUCUGGGAAUCCAGUGUAUGUUGUUCUCUAUUGCCUGCUAUGCAGCCCAGAAGCCACUAAUCUUCUUGGCUCCUCAGGUCAGCCUGCUAUCUGUUUCUACCACUGUGGCUGCCACAGUCUGAGCCAGUGACUCUGCUUCUCUCUUGAACAGAGGAAGAUGAGCUGUGGGGUGUGCUAGUAUGUAUUGGGGCAGAUGCAUGCUGACUGUGGGUCACCCACAGGACCAGUUCUUCUAUGUAUUUAACUUAUAUCUGCCUCAUUUGGAAAGGGGAGCCAGGUUCUCUUCCUCAAUGAUGGAUUUGUGGUCCUCACCCAGCAGCCCAUCUCUUCCCUACCCUCCUUUACAGCCAAGAUUCUUGAAAACAAUGCCUACAUUCUAUGGCCUCUGUUCCCUACAGCUUCCAGUGGGAGGGUGGGCUCAUAUGGGCUGGUUACAAUUUCUCCAGUUGGAGGUGAGGUAAUCUCCUUACCCUUAGACACUCCCAGGAGGCAGGGCAGGGAGGAAGGGAAAUGUAAGGCAAGCUUAUGGAAUGCUGAAGCAGCAUUGGGUACGCAGCCUUAGAACCAUGGCUGAGGCGCAGCGUGGAUCCCUGAGUCUUGUGAAGAUCUUGUCCUAGAAGUAUCCAUGUUAGCUACCUGGAUGAGGGAUGGGCAUCGAGACUGGGGAGGUUGGUUGGCUUUUCCUGCCACAGGGGACCUGGCCACCCCUCACUGGACCCCCAAGAAGGACAGAGAAGUUCACUAAUUGGAGGCAGCAGAUGCUCAUUUUUAGAAGUUCAUCCAAAAGAUGUCACUUAAUGGGGUGAGAGCUGUCAUAAUGUGCAAUAUCAUGUUCAAAUGUUCUCCCCACCCCCGCCGUUAUCUGGGGAAGGGUGGGUUCAAAAGAACGUUCAAGUAGCUACAGGGGAUACAAAACCCCAUAUUUUCCUCCUCCUCCUGAUGAUACAUUUUCUCAGAAACCCUCAGAGACUGUUGACAAUGUGUAAUAGAGACAUAAAAGAAUAAAAUCUCGUCAGAUGUAAUAGCAAAUGGGCCUAGAUUAACUGGACAUUGGAAAAGGAGAAGAAAAGUUAGAAAUGCCUCUGUGGUAGAGAGGUGUGAGGGUAGAUAAACCUAAAACCUUGUCAACGUCGUCGGCGGUUGCUCGGUCUUGUUUAGGCAGCUGUAUUGUUGAAAUUCCGUGGCUGUUCCCUGUCGAGUCUAGAAGAUGCAAUUUCAUAGCAACAGUCUUCCUAGUCCUCUGGCUCUUUCUUAUAGGUCCUCCUUGGUGUUAGCCCUAAGCCUCAGGGUAGGGAUUCUAUUGUAGAUGAAGCUGGGGCUGGACGACAAAAUCAACUGUUCUCUGCGUUUUGACCAUUUGUGGCUUUCUGAAGUGGGCUGGGUCUGCUCUGGACAAUAAACAGCCGCCUGAGGGAGGAAGGACUUACUUCUCAGGGAUAAAGCUCUGAUUGGCUGUUAAACACCCAGUGGCUAGCCCUAAAAACAAAUACAUACAAACAACAUUAAACAGACUCAGAAGGUUGUAUUUGCAUACUUAUUAAUUUAGAUAUAUGUAUAUGUAACUAUUAUUUAAAAAAAGAAGCGAUGGAUUUGAGAGGGAGCAGGGAUCAUGGGAAGGGUUGGAGAGAGAAGAAGGGGGGAGAUGGUGUGAUUUUAUUUUAAAGAUAAAUUAAAAAACCUUUUCACUUUGCUGUUAUUAAAAUGGAAUGGCGACUAAAUCCAUUUUAUUGCAGUAUACAUGAUAAAGAGUGGAGUAAUAUUCUCAUUUUCCCUCCAUGUGGCUACAUCUGCUUUACAUUUUUUCCCCUCUCACCAGAACUAAUGUUUUUCUUUGGGAACCACCCAUAAAAAUUCCAAUGGCAACCCUUGAAAAUGAUUUUUCUUUAAAAAAAAAAAAGUGAGACAUUAUUUGCAUUUGCCCCAAAAGGCCUUAUACAUUUUAAGUUUGAAAGCAGGAUUUUUUUUUUUUUAAGUGGGAAUUCAUUAUGACCCCACUUAGGUCAAAACCCGAGCUGCCUCUUGGCACUAAAUCCCUUAGAAGUUUCCUCUCUGAACAAAGAUUUGUAAGGAAAUGUGUUCAGGUCCCAUGGCUGUGGUGGAAAAAAAAAAAAGAAAGAAAAAACAAAGAGAGAGCUUUAUAUCUGCUUGGAAGUGGGGGAGGGGAGAUGAGGGCAGAGGUGGAGGUAGAAGUGGGAAGGGGGAGGCAUGCUGGCUUCCACCCAUUGUCAAAUCCACAGUACCUCCCAUUUCUGCUCUUUGGUUUUGGGGAUCCUUUGCUCCACAUUUUAAAAGCUAUCACACAUCUGCCACGACACAAGAAACCCUGUGUAUUUGGUGGGUGUUUAAAACAAUGUCACAAUGUCUCACGUGCCUGGCACGUUGAGAGCAGCUAGCAAGAUGUCAAAAUGUCUCUCGUGCCUGGCACGUUGAGAGCAGCCCUUGCUGAUUGUGUUGCUACUCCUUUGCUAUCAGGGAUCGCUGGAAGAUUGCUGGCGUGUUCCAGUUUUGAGAGAAUGGGUAAUCCAGGAAAGCAUGAGAACAGGGAAAAUGCCUGUUGUCUGUCCCCAAGGCUGUGGAAGGAUCCCACAGGGUCUGAAUACCAGGAUCCCAGGUGGUACCCUACCUCACCCUCCGACCCCUCGUGCUUUCCAUGGGCAAAAUGGAAUUUUUUAUUUUUUAAUCUGACCUGCCUCCUCCUUCACGAGUUUCCUCUCAGCAAAAGUCCUCACCCAGGCAACUCUAGGGUGACAUCAUGUGAUUAAGGUUGCUGGGGUCAAGUUCCUCACAUUGGGAGUGUUUGUGGGGGACAGACCGAAGGUAACUGCCACAGGCCCCCUCUGUCCACAAGGAGGUAGUUCCAAAGCCAUUGGACUCAUCUUAAAACGUGCCUUGAAGAAGAUUUCUCUCCUGGCUCACCAGAAGCAGUUCUUUCGGUGUCUUUCUCUGCUUUGCUGGCUAGAUAGCCUCUAUCUUUGUUUGCAUGAUUCUAAUUGGCGGUUAGUACUUGCUUGUCACAUGAUUUAACAGGCAUCUUGUCUGAUGAUAAUCUGAAAGGUCAGAGAUCACUUUUGGUUCGGUAUCAUCUCAGUCACUUGACAUCCAAACAGAUGGGGGUGGGACUGGGGGAUGGGGCUGGGGGGCUGCUCCUGUCAAACUCCCUUCUAGCCCUAUGAAUCUCCUGCUUAAAUGGGCUAGUUCUGUAGGACAAAUGCCACAUUUACAAGGCUUUCAGACUAAGCCUCUCUUCACUCCAGACUGCUGCAGAGCCUGGCAGAGGGCAGUGCCUUUGUAACCCAGGAGAGCUUCCUGCUGUUGGACUUGAAGGAGAUCCCAGAGACGCUGGCAGAAGCCCGGUUUGUAAAUGCUGCCUGGGAAGCUUCAGAGUGGAUUCUUUUCAGUGGGCUCCCUCCCAGAAAGAUCUUCGCUCAAGAACCAUUUCUCAGGUUUCCUUUACAGUCUUGGAAAGGCCAGGGAUAUAUUUUUUUUUUCAAAUGUAAGUCUCUGAAUCCUUUAGAUAGCUUUCCUUCAGCAUAUCUCUGCCCCUCCAGUUAGAUAUUAGUGAUUCAAAAAUCCUGCUGUUUACCUUAGUAUCCUAGUGAUUUCUUGGGGACAUGGCAAUGCAAUGUGGUUAAGCUUUCUGCCUCUACAGAGUCUCUUCAGCUCCCAUGUGUCCUUACUGACUUUUCAGAUAUCACCAAAGCUUUGCAAUCUCCCCAAAGCCUGGGAAUGACAAUCCUAGACAUCUGCCCCAGCAUACAUCUGCCUGCUGUCCCAUCCGUAGGGUGUAGGUGUGGUCAGCUUUCUGUCCCUGGGGUAACAUCCCAGAGAUAUGACGAAAUUGAUCAGGUGGAAAGAUUUCUUUUGGCUCAGAGUUUCAGAGGCUUCAGUCUGUGGCGGCCUGGCUCCAUCGUUUGUGGGCCUGUGGCAAUGCAGAAAACAUCAUGGCAAAUUGCUUGUGGCAGAGAUGAGCUGCUGGCCUGAUGGUAGGCAAGAGAUAGAUGAGGAACGGUUAGGGCUAAGUUCCUCUAUCCCCUUCAGUUGCACGCAUCCUAGUGAUCUGCCUUCUUUCCACUAGGCUGCACUUGCCACCUACGACUUUCCCUAAAGUGUAACUAACAACAUUGUUGGCUAAGUCCAUCACUUCAGCACAUGGAGACUCGAGAUGAACAUCAGAGCAAAUGUUUAGGGUUUUUUUUUUGCCCCCCUUGGCAGUAGCAUCCCAACUGUAAGAUUUGUUUCUUCUUUUGACAACAGUUACCUAAAGUUCAGCACUCCUGGAUAAGAAGAGUUGCUUAUUGUCUCGAGUGUCCUUGGUGGGCCAGGAAUUAAAGACUUGUGGG
This is a long non-coding RNA of Mastomys coucha (southern multimammate mouse), 5102 nucleotides long. RefSeq lists it as uncharacterized. NCBI's taxonomy places the organism in Eukaryota, Metazoa, Chordata, Mammalia, Rodentia, Muridae. The record is from RefSeq and is a predicted model, not a curated record. The transcript is spliced from 2 exons.